UACGUAGGGAGCGAGCGUUAUCCGGAAUUAUUGGGCGUAAAGGGUGCGUAGACGGCACGAGAAGUCUUAUGUAAAAAUGCUAGGCUCAACCUAGUAAAGCAUAAGAUACUAACGAGCUAGAGUAUGGAAGAGGCAAGUGGAACUCCAUGUGUAGCGGUAAAAUGCGUAAAUAUAUGGAAGAACACCAGUGGCGAAGGCGGCUUGCUGGUCCGAUACUGACGUUGAGGCACGAAAGCGUGGGGAGC
Molecule: ribosomal RNA, 245 nt
Filed under: uncultured Anaeroplasma sp.
Lineage: Bacteria; Bacillati; Mycoplasmatota; Mollicutes; Anaeroplasmatales; Anaeroplasmataceae
Description: partial 16S ribosomal RNA
Rfam family: Bacterial small subunit ribosomal RNA
Source: RNAcentral